RNAcentral lists this ribosomal RNA (430 nucleotides) under Pseudomonadota bacterium. RNAcentral describes it as "Proteobacteria bacterium partial 16S ribosomal RNA". It matches the Rfam family "Bacterial small subunit ribosomal RNA", at positions 355 to 776 of the family's 1533-position model. Lineage: Bacteria; Pseudomonadati; Pseudomonadota. The record is from RNAcentral.
UGGGGAAUAUUGGACAAUGGGGGGAACCCUGAUCCAGCCAUGCCGCGUGUGUGAAGAAGGCCUUAUGGUUGUAAAGCACUUUAAGCGAGGAGGAGGGUACUGGUAUUAAUACUACCAGCUACUGGACGUUACUCGCAGAAUAAGCACCGGCUAACUCUGUGCCAGCAGCCGCGGUAAUACAGAGGGUGCGAGCGUUAAUCGGAUUUACUGGGCGUAAAGCGUGCGUAGGCGGCUAAUUGAGUCGGAUGUGAAAUCCCCGAGCUUAACUUGGGAAUUGCAUUCGAUACUGGUUAGCUAGAGUGUGGGAGAGGAUGGUAGAAUACCAGGUGUAGCGGUGAAAUGCGUAGAGAUCUGGAGGAAUACCGAUGGCGAAGGCAGCCAUCUGGCCUAACACUGACGCUGAGGUACGAAAGCAUGGGGAGCAAACAGG